RNAcentral lists this ribosomal RNA (497 nucleotides) under uncultured bacterium. RNAcentral's name for it is "partial 16S ribosomal RNA". It matches the Rfam family "Bacterial small subunit ribosomal RNA", at positions 28 to 507 of the family's 1533-position model. The record is from RNAcentral.
GAUGAACGCUGGCGGCGUGCCUAAUACAUGCAAGUCGAGCGAACGGACGAUAAGCUUGCGUCUCUGAUGUUAGCGGCGGACGGGUGAGUAACACGUGUAUAACCUACCUAUAAUACUGGGAUAACUUCGGGAAACCGGAGCUUAUACCGGAUAAUAUUUUGAACCGCAUGGUUCAAAAGUGAGAGACGGUCUUGCUGUCACUUAUAGAUGGAUCCGCGCUGCAUUAGCUAGUUGGUAAGGUCACGGCUUACCAAGGCGACGAUGCAUAGACGACGUGAGAGGGUGAUAGGCGACACUGGAACGGGGCCACGGACAAGAGGACUGCGGGAGGGAGCAGUAGGGAAUGUGACGCAAUGGGCGAAAACCUGACAGAGCAACGGCACGUGAGUGACGGAGGUGUUCGGAGCGGAAAGCUCUGUUACGAGGGAAGAACAGAUGUGUACGGAAAUGUGGAGAGAUUGACGGUAACUAAUCAAGAAGCAACGGCUAACUACGUG